GAUGAAGAACGUAGCGAAAUGCGAUACUUGGUGUGAAUUGCAGAAUCCCGUGAACCAUCGAGUCUUUGAACGCAAGUUGCGCCCGAAGCCAUUAGGCCGAGGGCACGCCUGCCUGGGCGUCACACGUCGUUGCCCCCCCAUCUAAUCCUUCGGGAUUGCGGGGGGUGGAUGAUGGCCUCCCGUGCGCCUCGUCGCGCGGUUGGCAUAAAUGCCAAGUCCUCGGCGACGCACGCCACGACAAUCGGUGGUUGCGAAACCUCGGUUGCCCGUCGUGUGCGGUCGUCGCGCAUCGAGGGCUCGAAAAAAUUGCCGGGCUCCGGCUCGACUUUCAACGCGACCCCAGGUCAGGCGGGGUUACCCGCUGAAUUUAAGCAUAUCAAUAAGCGGAGGA
RNAcentral lists this unclassified non-coding RNA (391 nucleotides) under soil metagenome. RNAcentral's name for it is "partial contains 5.8S ribosomal RNA, internal transcribed spacer 2, and large subunit ribosomal RNA". The stretch from base 1 to 122 matches the Rfam family "5.8S ribosomal RNA", at positions 35 to 154 of the family's 154-position model. The record is from RNAcentral.